GCUUGAAGUCAGCCAUGCUGCGCGGACUCAGCCCGGCUGAUGCCUGGUGUAUUUCCCAGCAGCAAGUCAGCAUGGAUUUGGAUCGCCGGAGAAGGGUGGGAGGAAUGUGGCACCCUCGGGUGUGUUAAGCCUCCUACUGGAUACGGCGAUUUGGAUCCAGGAACGCAGUGUGCCUCUGGCGGGUCUUCGGACACCUUCACACUUAGGAUGCUGGCGUAAUGGCUUUAAGCGG
RNAcentral lists this ribosomal RNA (232 nucleotides) under Malassezia sympodialis. RNAcentral's name for it is "partial large subunit ribosomal RNA". Lineage: Eukaryota; Fungi; Basidiomycota; Malasseziomycetes; Malasseziales; Malasseziaceae. The record is from RNAcentral.